AGACAUGGGGCUUGCAGCUAAGGAGGGAAGUCCUCUCUAAAGCCAGCCUGUGAAGACAGCACUUGCCUGCCCUGACGCUCCUGUGGCCUCCAGGCCUGUGGCUCUGGUAACAGUUUCUUCCUCCCUCCCCGCCACCCCCUUUUUCUUGGUGACAGCUGGAAGUAGCAGUGGUCACAACUGAGAGAGCCAAACAUUUCUACAGCCCCCAGGACAUUGCUGUCACCCUCUACAGCGACGCUGAUGAAUGGGAGAUGUGGAAGAGCCGCUCUGACCCAGUUCUGCACAUUGACCUGCGGAGGUGGGCAGACCUCCUGCUGGUGGCUCCUCUUGAUGCCAACACUCUGGGGAAGGUGGCCAGUGGCAUCUGUGACAACUUGCUUGUGAGUGAUGUCCUGGUGCCCUCGUCCGUCCCUGGGCCUCACACCCAGUUUGCUGAGCUGCAGACAUCCUUGUACAAGGAGACCUGCUGCUGUGGGGCCCCGGUCUGCC
Molecule: small RNA, 489 nt
Filed under: Pan troglodytes (chimpanzee)
Lineage: Eukaryota; Metazoa; Chordata; Mammalia; Primates; Hominidae
Description: retained intron
Source: RNAcentral